GGGCGAAUGGUUUAGUGGUAUAAUACUCCCUUAGCAAGGCUUCGUUGCUCGUCAACCCUUGAUCUGGGAGUGGUCCAGGGUUCGAUUCCCUGUUCGUCCA
RNAcentral lists this transfer RNA (100 nucleotides) under Fusarium fujikuroi. RNAcentral describes it as "tRNA-Ala". It matches the Rfam family "tRNA". From Rfam's summary of the family: Transfer RNA (tRNA) molecules are approximately 80 nucleotides in length. Their secondary structure includes four short double-helical elements and three loops (D, anti-codon, and T loops). Lineage: Eukaryota; Fungi; Ascomycota; Sordariomycetes; Hypocreales; Nectriaceae. The record is from RNAcentral.